GUAGGGAAUCUUCCGCAAUGGACGAAAGUCUGACGGAGCAACGCCGCGUGAGUGAAGAAGGUUUUCGGAUCGUAAAACUCUGUUGUCAGAGAAGAACAAGUCGGAGAGUAACUGCUCCGGCCUUGACGGUAUCUGACCAGAAAGCCACGGCUAACUACGUGCCAGCAGCCGCGGUAAUACGUAGGUGGCAAGCGUUGUCCGGAUUUAUUGGGCGUAAAGCGAGCGCAGGCGGUUCCUUAAGUCUGAUGUGAAAGCCCACGGCUCAACCGUGGAAGGUCAUUGGAAACUGGGGAACUUGAGUGCAGAAGAGGAGAGUGGAAUUCCAUGUGUAGCGGUGAAAUGCGUAGAUAUAUGGAGGAACACCAGUGGCGAAGGCGACUCUCUGGUCUGUAACUGACGCUGAGGCUCGAAAGCGUGGGGAGCAAACAGG
This 430-nucleotide ribosomal RNA is filed under the name uncultured bacterium. RNAcentral describes it as "bacterial SSU rRNA". It matches the Rfam family "Bacterial small subunit ribosomal RNA", at positions 354 to 776 of the family's 1533-position model. The record is from RNAcentral.